UCCCUGCGGGUCCUGGGGCGGUCCGGAGCGCGCGGCUCCCUCCUGCAGCAUCCCACACGCUUCCCAACCGCUCAGCCCCAUCCCUAACCCCGCACUUUGGAGUGAACGCGCUGCAUCCCUCUCACCCUCUCAUCCUCUGCCCCGCAAGGUGCGCCUUCCCCACCAUCCCAAAGCAACGGCCAGCCGACAGGGCCGCCGUGCUGCCCAGUUUCCCUGCUCCAUCCCAUCAGUGCUGUUGUCUUGUGAUGGUAAUUUCAUCAACGGCUUAUGUAAGGGUUGGAUAACACAAACACCACAACAUAUGGUUCGUGCGAGAUAGCAACGUGUGCUCCAUAAAGCGUUACAAUGACUUGUGUGAUAUUCCCCUUACAGUCUGUGGAUGAUUUACAGCCUUUCCAAGCUGUCACAAAUAGCGUAACGUCCCCUGUGAUUCGAUCAAAAGUUUGCUAAUUUGAUAAGCAAAAUGGAUUAUUUGGUUGCAGUGGGAAAUCUAAUGUCAUUACUGAAGGAAGCGAUGGACUUGCUUCUGCAUUCCUCUCAAAAUUGAUCUUUUGAGCAUUCAGUGACUUUAGAAUUGGGCUCUGUGACAGGUUCGUUUGUGAAGGUUUGGCCCUUGGUGCCACUAAACCUUGCCUGUAAGGCCCCAGUGUCCCUGGAGCGCUGCAGCAUCCUAGUGCUGCAUGGGCAAACUGGGCAAUCCGAGCAGGCAGUGCUGAGCAAAGGAUGGGAAAUGUUGGGGAAAAGAGAGUGUUUCUCAAAUCCCACUUUCUUCUGGAUGGAUUUUGAGGUGGGCAUUCCCAGUGCAGAUUGAGGUGACACUUUCCUAACAGAUGGCUCUGGUGUGCUCACACUGCGGCACGUCACAGAUAGAUGGGUUGGGUGGGAGGUGGCAGGCCUAAGUGUAGGCUCCCCUCCCCAGCGCAGAGCCCAGCUGUUGUCACCCACCCAUUGGGAAGAUGCUCUGCACUCCUGUGAUUGCAUCAUACCCUUUGAAGUAAUGCAAGGAAAUGCAGACCUGCAGCCUUCAUGCACAGACUUUUCACCCCUUGCAUGUCUGAUGCGAUGCAGCCAGUGUGUGUGCUUUGCUCUGGAGCCCAAAAGCUUGCUAGGGCAACUGAGUCUCAGAGCAUAUUUUCCAAAGGCAGCCUCUCCCAGGUGACAGGCAUGUGAAAGAGGACCACCACCUCAGUGCUGGGUGCAGGUCCAGAGGCUGCUCUAACUCGGGGGCAGGUUUGAUGUGUGCAGAAAAAUGCAUUCCUUCCACUAAAUUGCUCUUGUGGUGGGAUAAAUAUUAAGUGUUAUUUGGUACUGGAGGCAUAACCUCUGUUGUACAGCUCUUCCAAAGCUGGAGAAAAGCGUCAGCCCACCUUGUGCACACUUGUGUCCAGGCGUGUUUUAGCACCUGAUUUGACAGUGUGAUGCCUGGAGUCAGGGGUGCUCAUGGGAAUGGUUGAGCUUAUUGAACCUCCUUGCAUCAAAAUUAGAGGGGCUGGGGAAACCUGUUAUGUAUUUUGAUUGUUAUUUAGCUUUGAAAAUAUUUAUUUUACUGUUUAUUGUUAUUUAAAUUACUACCCAGCUCUUUCACCCCAUGUGACAUUUGCGGCAUGCAUAUUCGUGCCCAUCAGUCCCACUGCCUCUGCAGACCUCCAGAAAUGCCUCUGUGCUAAAAUAAACAAGCUGCCCUGUGGGUGCUGUGUAUGUAUGUGCUGUCUUAUCCAACAGCGUUACUGAAAGGGAUUAAAACAUUCCUUCCUUUGCACAAAAUAAUGAACCCAUUUUGAGAAAGCACCAUGCAACAGAAACAUGACUUUCGCAGUCAAAAGUAAAGCUAUAUUUGUUAAUAAGCAGGGCACCAGAGUACAGAGAUAAUUGGCAUGUUAGAAAUACCGGGCUCUCUAGACCUAUUUAUAUGUUUAGUAGCAAAUAUAAAUGGGUAUGUAUAACCUAAGGUGAAUGUUCUUUUCCAGUUCCUUGCAUCCUUUUGAUCUGUGCUUAGCAAGGCUUUAGGUGACUCCAUGUGCUACAGGAGUCCCACUUGCUGGCGGUUAUGUGGAAAUGUUAAACAAAUUGACUGCUGGUUGAAACUUUUUUUCUUUGAUGGCGAGCAGUGGUGGACUAGAGGAAAUAGCAAAGUUGAAAGGAAAACCAAAAAUACAUAUUCUGGAAACUUGCUUCUGUGACUGUUUUUUAAAUCAUUUUCCUCUCCAAUUUGUCUUCCAACCAACCAGCUCUACCCAAGUGCAAGCAAAUGUUUUUAUUUCAGAGGUCACAGACUUAUGUAAGUGGCUGGACAACAAGUGGUAACAGGAGUGGUAGAGCAUGAUAACUUUUUUACCCAGUGCACAAAGAGCUGGAAGAGAGACUCAUCAGCUGUGGGUGUUUGGAGACAGUGAGGAACUUGGGGUGACACAGGUAUGUGCCAACAGUAGCCAGUGAACUUAAAACCAAGUUCUUGCAUGGUGAUUAUAAAGUGGGAGAGAUUUGUGAUUGCCUAACAUUGGAACAGCAUGAGCAAGAUCCCGUGUGUAACUGGCAGGAUGAGCAGAAGCAGAUAGCCACAGCAAAGGUGAAACGUUGCCUGCACAGAUCAGCUGACACGCAGAUCACAAAGGCACAGAACCUCAUUAUUUAAGAUGUCAGAGGUGUGGCACACGUGGUGUUGAUGUGCCUGUUGUACUGCCUUGAAUGGUUCCUGAGAUCACCAGAAGGCAAGCAGUGGGUGGCAAGGCCAAUUGGGUAGAUAUUUGUCUCUUAAAGAAAUUGGGACAUUCUAAUUAAGUGGUGAGACCUGGAAUCCAUAUAAUUCCUCUGACUCACAGUACCUUUAGGUGAGGCUGGUGGCAAGAGCUUUUUAUUAAGAUGACUUAACAUUUUCCAAUGUAAGACCAUGGUGUUUUCUUUGUUAGAUCCUCUUUAGGCCUAACAUUUUUUCAGGAAACUUUGGUCAAAAUCAUUAUGGCAGCUCGAAUAGCAGGAACAAGAAAAACACGUUGCUUCUACCAUGUUAGAAAUUCUUCUGACCUUUCCUUUGAAAUACCCAAGCAUGCUUGCACUGAAACAAAAAUUUAGGAGGUGGGCUUCUGUGUCUGAAGUGGGGCUGGGAACGGAGGAAAGAAUGCCCUUCCUA
Meleagris gallopavo (turkey) is the source of this 3127-nucleotide non-coding RNA. NCBI's taxonomy places the organism in Eukaryota, Metazoa, Chordata, Aves, Galliformes, Phasianidae. The record is from RefSeq and is a predicted model, not a curated record.